AUUAACAAAUUAGCAUCGAAACUCGUGUUUAGUAAGUGUUCUUGGUGCUUACUCAGUUACUGCUAACCUGGACAGCUUCCGUUUGCUCGGUGAUUGUUUAUCGAAACAUUGAAUGCACCUUGUGCGAUUGUCUGGCUAUAGAAUAUCAACCCCAACACAUAGUGACAUAGCCAUAGCAGAUGUUCCUUCAGAGUUGAAAUAAAUGAAGAUAAUCUACUUCCUAGGCGAAAUCUCUGCAAGAUGACGGGGAUGGCAGUGAACAGUUUUUCAGAUUUCCCUUAGCGAAAAUGCCAAAAGUAAGCUAUCUCUCCACUGUUCACUGGACCUGACAGAGAAUCUGGUAUUGAAAUCACUGAAUCCAAAUCUAGUUGCAGCCAAAGUGAGCGAAAGUAUGAAAAAUGUUAUGAAUCAAGAAAGACCUUCAGUUAAGACCAAGGAAGUGAUUACAGUUAACACAAGUCUGGACCUGGACACAUUCUCAAAGCUCUUACCUUUCUUGUGAUGUUACUUUGUGAAUUCUCCGGUGAAUGAAGAAAACUAACUAAAUGUGGAGGACCAAGCCUUAAAAACUACUAGACUUAUCAAGACUACAAAUCCAAUUUAUUCAACUAAUGCUGAUGCCUCAAACACAACCAGACUUAACCAGACCACUGACCCAACCUAUUCAACUAAUGCUGAUGCCUCAAACACAACCAGACUUAACCAGACCACUGACCCAACCUAUUCAACUAAUGCUGAUGGCUCAAUGGAUAAAAAAAUCCUAAUGGUCAUUUCAAUUUGCUCAACUUUCUUGAUUGCUGUUGCAUUGGUUUGUACUGGCAUUUUAAUUUACAUUUUGGAAAAGAGUAUUCAAUGUCGGUUCAGGUGAAAUUAUUUUUUGUAUUUAAAGGAUUAUAAGCUACAUUUGUUUUGAUUUUUAAAUCAACUUUCUCAUCCUUUUUAUGUUUCCCAUGUUUGGUACUUGAAUAAUAGAAUACAGACGGUACUUCAAAAAAGAAGAUGAUUACUAUUUGGGCAUAAAUAAACCCACUCCUUUGUAGACACUACUUCCAUCUUUAUAAAACUCUAAACCAGGCCCUCUUAGUCUUUAAAUGCCCCUAAUUAAUUCACAAAUUCUGUUACCACAUUAACCCAGCAUAACCAGCUGAAAAAAACAACAAAUUAUGCUAUUCUUCCUUGGUACAGACCGCAAAAGAGCUCAGGGCAAAAAGCUGGCUGGAAAAACUAGAACGUCGCAGAGCAGUCCUCUGUAUUUUUAGUUCCUAUUUCUCACAAUGAUGCUAAAUGUUUUACUCACCGUAAACUUUUUUUUA
Molecule: long non-coding RNA, 1313 nt
Organism: Biomphalaria glabrata
Lineage: Eukaryota; Metazoa; Mollusca; Gastropoda; Planorbidae
Exons: 8
Source: RefSeq, a predicted model, not a curated record